Molecule: ribosomal RNA, 253 nt
Filed under: uncultured bacterium
Lineage: Bacteria
Description: partial 16S ribosomal RNA
Rfam family: Bacterial small subunit ribosomal RNA
Source: RNAcentral
UACGUAGGGGGCAAGCGUUAUCCGGAAUUACUGGGUGUAAAGGGAGCGUAGACGGCAAUGCAAGUCCGGAGUGGAAUGCGGCAGCUCAACUGCCGAACUGCUCUGGAAACUGUAUGGCUUGAGUGCAGGAGGGGUAAGCGGAAUUCCUGGUGUAGCGGUGAAAUGCGUAGAUAUCAGGAGGAACACCGGUGGCGAAGGCGGCUUACUGGACUGUAACUGACGUUGAGGCUCGAAAGUGUGGGGAGCAAACAGG